GGGCGCUUCUUNGAGGUCCGACCAAUUUCAUUUCCACACACUGUGAACACACUUCAUUUUUACACACAAGUUUAUAAACACACAAGUCUAUAAGAAUGUUUAAAGUCUCUUAAUUGAGCAUAAAGUUAUAAUACAACUUUCGGCAACGGAUCUCUUGGCUCUCGCAUCGAUGAAGAACGCAGCGAAAUGCGAUACGUAAUGUGAAUUGCAGAAUUCAGUGAAUCAUCGAAUCUUUGAACGCACCUUGCACUCUUUGGUAUUCCGAAGAGUAUGUCUGUUUGAGUGUCAUGAAACUCUCAACCCCCUUGUUUUGUAAUGAAGCAGGCGUGGGCUUGGAUUAUGGCUGUCUGCUGGACUCUUUAAUUAGAGAUCGGCGCGGCGGAAAUAUACGAGUAACCCAGU
RNAcentral lists this unclassified non-coding RNA (402 nucleotides) under Erythrobasidium hasegawianum. Its description in RNAcentral is "sequence contains ITS1, 5.8S rRNA gene, ITS2". The stretch from base 135 to 288 matches the Rfam family "5.8S ribosomal RNA". The record is from RNAcentral. Lineage: Eukaryota; Fungi; Basidiomycota; Cystobasidiomycetes; Erythrobasidiales; Erythrobasidiaceae.